RNAcentral lists this small RNA (118 nucleotides) under Micromonospora sp. CB01531. RNAcentral's name for it is "Actinobacteria sRNA Ms_IGR-7". It matches the Rfam family "Actinobacteria sRNA Ms_IGR-7". The record is from Rfam by way of RNAcentral. Lineage: Bacteria; Bacillati; Actinomycetota; Actinomycetes; Micromonosporales; Micromonosporaceae.
UGACAGAUGCCCUCUCGACCAGGCUGAUGGAAGCUUCGAGAACUCCCAUUUUCCCCGGUCAGAGGGCAUCUUCCUGUCUACCGCGCCGGCGUAACCCGAUGCCUAUCGGUGGAUUCAG